AUAUCUUUGGCAGCUGUAAAGUUUCUGCUCCUUCAAAGUUCACAACACAAUGAAUGAAUUCCUAAAACACUCUCAAUGCUGGAGAGCGUUUGUGAUGCUGAAGCAGUGACCAGUUUUUCUGUUUCUUCUCUGGAGAUGCACAAUGAGGGACGUCUGCAGAGACUGAGAAAGAGUCUCACCACAUCCUGACAUGAGGAAAAAGACUUUAUUGAAGACUAGAAUGAGAAAAACUAUCAGACAGCAGACGGCUGCAUUCAAGUUUAGGCUGUUAGAUUGUUCCAGAUAAGACAAGUACAAGAUUCUUCAGAGCCGUUCUACCAGGAGCCUGACAGGAAGAACUCCAACAGCUACUG
Molecule: long non-coding RNA, 353 nt
Organism: Amphiprion ocellaris (clown anemonefish)
Lineage: Eukaryota; Metazoa; Chordata; Actinopteri; Pomacentridae
Source: Ensembl